GCUGGAAAGAACUCUCCUCUUUAAAUCAUCAGUCUUCCUUUUUUCUUCUGAUCUCAAGCUUUUUUCAGGAUAUCAGAAAUGCCAAUGUCACUAAAAAGAAAACUCUCACUUAUUCAAAUUAAAUAUAUCAUUACGAGGUCGUAAUCUGGUUCUGCACCGACUUUUUAGGACAUUUUGCAGAUGUUUCAUCGAACGUAGGAGAAAUUCAAAUGGAAAAUCUGACGAGCAUGCAUUUUUUGACGCAUAACCACCAGCAAUAAUGAGCCAUGCUCGAGUAUUUCCUUCGAUGGAAUUC
Molecule: long non-coding RNA, 295 nt
Filed under: Elaeis guineensis (African oil palm)
Lineage: Eukaryota; Viridiplantae; Streptophyta; Magnoliopsida; Arecales; Arecaceae
Description: long non-coding RNA (EGUI_LNC021092)
Source: RNAcentral